This 253-nucleotide ribosomal RNA is filed under the name uncultured bacterium. RNAcentral describes it as "partial 16S ribosomal RNA". It matches the Rfam family "Bacterial small subunit ribosomal RNA", at positions 524 to 776 of the family's 1533-position model. The record is from RNAcentral.
UACGGGGGGGGCAAGCGUUGUUCGGAAUUACUGGGCGUAAAGGGCUCGUAGGCGGCCAACUAAGUCCGAUGUGAAAUCCCAAGGCUUAACCUUGGAACUGCGUCGGAUACUGGAUGGCUUGAAUUCGGGAGAGGGAUGCAGAAUUCCAGGUGUAGCGGUGAAAUGCGUAGAUAUCUGGAGGAAUACCGGUGGCGAAGGCGGCAUCCUGGACCGACAUUGACGCUGAGGAGCGAAAGCUAGGGGAGCAAACGGG